GCAUUAAUGGGGUAGUGGUAACCUGGGUCGUUGCCAUAUUUAGGAAUUAACCACCAGUUUCGACCCGCCGGGGGUUCGAUUCCCUCUUAAUGCA
Non-coding RNA from Lentinula aff. detonsa, 94 nucleotides. Lineage: Eukaryota; Fungi; Basidiomycota; Agaricomycetes; Agaricales; Omphalotaceae. The record is from the annotation of a GenBank genome assembly.